AGCGAACGCUGGCGGCAGGCCUAACACAUGCAAGUCGAACGAACUCUUCGGAGUUAGUGGCGGUCGGGUGAGUAACACGUGGGAACGUGCCUUUUGGUUCGGAAUAACUCAGGGAAACUUGUGCUAAUACCGAAUGUGCCCUUCGGGGGAAAGAUUUAUCGCCAUUAGAGCGGCCCGCGUCCGAUUAGCUAGUUGGUGAGGUAACGGCUCACCAAGGCGACGAUCAGUAGCUGGUCUGAGAGGAUGACCAGCCACACUGGGACUGAGACACGGCCCAGACUCCUACGGGAGGCAGCAGUGGGUGAUCUUGCGCAAUGGGCGAAAGCCUGACGCAGCCAUGCCGCGUGAAUGAUGAAGGUCUUAGGAUAGUAAAAUUCUUUCACCGGGGGCGAUAAUGACGGUACCCGGAGAAGAAGCCCCGGCUAACUUCGUG
RNAcentral lists this ribosomal RNA (433 nucleotides) under uncultured bacterium. RNAcentral describes it as "partial 16S ribosomal RNA". It matches the Rfam family "Bacterial small subunit ribosomal RNA", at positions 29 to 507 of the family's 1533-position model. The record is from RNAcentral.